This 660-nucleotide ribosomal RNA is filed under the name Triticum aestivum (bread wheat). RNAcentral's name for it is "partial small subunit ribosomal RNA". The record is from RNAcentral. Lineage: Eukaryota; Viridiplantae; Streptophyta; Magnoliopsida; Poales; Poaceae.
AUGGUUUUUAAGUUGGACUUCAGGAAAGCAUUUGACUCCAUAUGUUGGACCUCCCUCAUUCAAAUUCUAACAGCCCGUGGCUUCCCCUCCAUCUUCUGCGCUUGGGUCCAAAAUAUCCUCUCUACUGGCAAAACGGCUAUUCUUUUGAAUGGUGUUCCAGGGCCCUGGAUUCAAUGUCGAUGUGGACUUAGACAAGGGGACCCAUUCUCACCGUAUCUGUUCAUCAUCGUCGCGGAUGUUCUCCAAAGAUUAAUUGCCAAAGCCUUUCAACCUAACAUACUCUGCCACCCUCUAAGACCAAAUGAACCACCGGUGACACUGCAAUACGCGGAUGAUACCCUCAUAAUCGCUGCUGCUAGUGAUGCAGCAACCUUGAUUCUCAAAAAAACCCUUCACGAUUUCGCUCUGGCAACAGGGUUGGUAAUCAACUACCACAAAGCUGCUCUUCUCACAAUUGCUACGGACUCUGCUACUCAAAAUAACAUUGUUGCUACUAUCGGAUGCUCAACAUCAGAUUUUCCGCUGGUGUACCUAGGGCUACCACUUUCCCCUACAAAAUUACCACUGACCGCCUUCGACCCCAUCAUAGAUAACUUUCGGAAAUUCCUCUUUGGCUGGGUGGCGCGCCUUCUCUCAAGGGGGCUAGGCUCACCCUCCUGA